Molecule: ribosomal RNA, 614 nt
Filed under: Anteon infectum
Lineage: Eukaryota; Metazoa; Arthropoda; Insecta; Hymenoptera; Dryinidae
Description: eukaryotic LSU rRNA
Source: RNAcentral
AAAGAUCGAACGGGGAGAUUCAUCGUCAGCGAGGCAGGCUUCGCGAGGGUGUACGAUGUUCGUCGGACUUCGGUUCGACGGCACGCCAUCCUCGUGUUUUACGUCUUGUCGCGUCGGCGUGCACUUCUCCCCUUGUAGAACGUCGCGACCCGUUGGGUGUCGGUCUACGGCCCGGGUGGAUGCCUGUCUCGUCGUUUCGGCGAACGAGGCAGAACCCCGGUCGCCCGGCCGGCUGCUCGGCGGUACUCGCACGGUAUAGGGCCGCAAGCAAACGUGCGUCCAGGUCCGUCGCAAGCGCGUUCAGUGUUUCCCGGAGUUACCGACUUUGCGCCGUACCCGGGCCUGAACAGCUGUUGGUUGACGAUGACCUCGGACUGGCUCGGUCGGGUAAGUUUUAAUUUGCCCGAUCAUUAAUACCGGUCGGCGACGCUACUGCUUUGGGUACUCUCAGGACCCGUCUUGAAACACGGACCAAGGAGUCUAACAUGUGCGCGAGUCAUUGGGACUAAUAAGCUAAAGGCGUAAUGAAAGUGAAGAUCGUUCUUGCAACGAUCGAGGGAGGAUAGGCCGCGUCACGAUGCGGCUUCGCACUCCCGGGGCGUCUCGCUCUCAUU